GUAGGGAAUCUUCCACAAUGGACGAAAGUCUGAUGGAGCAACGCCGCGUGAGUGAAGAAGGGUUUCGGCUCGUAAAACUCUGUUGUUAAAGAAGAACAUAUCUGAGAGUAACUGUUCAGGUAUUGACGGUAUUUAACCAGAAAGCCACGGCUAACUACGUGC
This 162-nucleotide ribosomal RNA is filed under the name uncultured bacterium. RNAcentral's name for it is "partial 16S ribosomal RNA". It matches the Rfam family "Bacterial small subunit ribosomal RNA", at positions 354 to 508 of the family's 1533-position model. The record is from RNAcentral.